AUGGGCCGUGUGGGGGGAGCUGGGGCCGUACUGGUGGUACUGGUGGUGCUGGGAGCCCCCCCGGCUGCGGGCGAGGAGCUCUAGGGGGUGUUCCAGUGGAUGCUAAAGCUGGAGUGUCAUUUCAUUGACGGCUCCGACCGCGUGAGGCUCGUGGAGAGGUUCGUCUACAACCGGGAGCAGCUCGUGCACUUCGACAGCGAUUUGGGGCACUUUGUGGGGGACACCCCCUUCGGGGAGAUCCAGGCCAAGCACUGGAACAGCCGGCCGGAAUUGGUGGAGCAGGGCCGGGUUCAGGUGGACACGUUUUGCCGGCACAACUACGAGGUGUCCACCCCAGACCUCGAGAGCCGCAGAGUGCCCCCCAGCGUGUCCAUCUCGCUGGUGCCGUCGAGCUCCCAGCCCGGCCCCAGCCGCCUGCUCUGCUCCGUGAUGGAUUUCUACCCUGCGCCGGUGCAGGUGAGGUGGUUCCAGGAUGGGCAGGAGGUCCCGGAGCACGUAAUGGCCACCGACAUGGUCCCCAACGGGGACUGGACCUACCAGGUGCUGGUGAUGCUGGAAAUCCCCCCCCGGCGCGGGGUCACCUACACCUACCAGGUGGAGCACGUCAGCCUGGAGCACCCCCUCAGCCGGCACUGGGAGAUGCUGCUGGACACCACCCACAGCAAGAUGCUGAUGGGGAUCGUGGGCUUCUUGUUGGGCUUCAUCUUCCUGGUGCUGGGGCUCGGCUUCUACCUGUGCCAGAAGGUGAGGGGGGUCCCCGGGGGUCAUGUCCCCCUCUCCCCACAGUGUGUGUGCCCCCCAGGGAACCCCCAGCCCUG
Empidonax traillii (willow flycatcher) is the source of this 818-nucleotide RNA transcript. It is a transcript of the gene named class II histocompatibility antigen, B-L beta chain-like, with no coding region annotated. The transcript is spliced from 4 exons. The record is from RefSeq and is a predicted model, not a curated record. NCBI's taxonomy places the organism in Eukaryota, Metazoa, Chordata, Aves, Passeriformes, Tyrannidae.